Molecule: non-coding RNA, 375 nt
Organism: Peromyscus maniculatus bairdii (prairie deer mouse)
Lineage: Eukaryota; Metazoa; Chordata; Mammalia; Rodentia; Cricetidae
Source: RefSeq, a predicted model, not a curated record
ACAUCCAGCUUAUAUCUCAGAGCAGCAAGGUCACCCACAAUAACAAGCAAAUGGGUGCCCCUCCCAUUGUGGACUCAUCUACGACUGGUUGGGGGUCCUGCGAAGAAAGUGACUAAAGAGUGAUGCAAGCAGGCUGAUGGACUUAAAACAACCCAGUAAUACCCAACAGGUGGAAGAAUGAAAGUUAACAUAUGAGCCAGUCAUGGUAAUGUAUGCCUGUGGUUUCAGCAUUGGGAAGGCUGAGGAAGAAGGCAAGUUUGAGGCUAGCAUGGGCUACAAAAAGAGACUCUCUCAAAUAAUGAAAGGAAAAUAAAUUAAGAAUGAAGACAACAUGUUUUGUAAAGGUUGAGCUGAAUAAAUGACUAAAGAUUUUAA